This 7414-nucleotide long non-coding RNA is filed under the name Selaginella moellendorffii. RNAcentral describes it as "long non-coding RNA (SMOE_LNC001169)". Lineage: Eukaryota; Viridiplantae; Streptophyta; Lycopodiopsida; Selaginellales; Selaginellaceae. The record is from RNAcentral.
CUGCUGAGGCAAAUGAAGAUGUUAUCUGAGGUCUUGGAAGAAUUGUCCCUCCAUGUAGUGGAUGAAUCAGGCCGAUUCGUGGAUGCUCUGACCAAGGUGAUCGACAUGUUUGAGAUUGAAUCGAGCUGGCUUCGCAAGCAAAUCAUUCCCAACUUGGAUACAUACCUCUGGCUGAGAGAGAUCACAUCUGGUGUGGCUCCUUGCUUUGCUCUGAUUGAUGGUUUGCUGCAACUUAGGCUGGAGGAGCGUGGCGUGCUGGAUCAUCCUCUCAUACGCAAGGUUGAGGAGAUUGGGACGCACCACAUUGCGCUCCACAAUGACAUGAUCUCGUUCAGGAAGGAGUGGGCGAAAGGAUACUACCUCAACGCCGUGCCCAUUCUCGCCAGCAAUUGUAAGUGUGGCUUGAACGAGGCAAUUGGCAAGGUUGCGAGCAUGGUGGAGGAUUUGGAGAAGGAUUUCGCCCAGACAAAGCAUGAGAUCGUUUCAAGUGGGCUUGCCAUGAAGCAAGGAGUCAUGGACUAUGUGGACGGGAUAGAGGUGUGGAUGGCCGGAAGCGUAGAAUGGGCAUGGACGAGCGCUAGAUACCAUGGAAUUGGGUGGAUCCCUCCUCCAGAAAAAUCAGCGACCUUCCAACUCUAGAUUGUUGCUCAAAUAGUAAAUAAUAAUUUCUCUCAUGGAGUGUUUUAGAAAUUCAUAUCUAAGCAGUGUUUUCGUCCUGAACAAGCAAAUUGAAAUGCACGGUAGAUGUGGUAACAUCAAGCACGCAGCUCAGAUCUUCCAUGCUAUGGCCAAGAGGGACAAGUUCAGCUGGGAUCUUUUGCUGGUUGCCUACUGCAAAAACGGGCACUUUGAUGAAGCGCGAAGGUUCUUCAGCUGCAUGCCGUGCUGGAGCCUUGUGUCAUUUACUACUAUGAUUUCUGUUGCCUCCCAGAGAGGCCAAAUGCAAGAAAUACAAUCCGUUACAAACUUGAUGCCAGAGCACGAUCUUUUCUCUGUAAACGCGGUGCUUUUUGCAUUUGCCGAAAAUGGGCAUCUUGAUUUUGCCAAGGUAGUCUUUAGCAAAAUGCCUGCUCGCAACUUGGUGUCGUGGACGACGAUGCUGGGGGCUUUAUCUCAGCUCGCGGAUGUGGAAAGCACUUUUGAAGAGAUGCCGGAGCACGAUGUCGUCUCGUGCACUUGCGCAAUUGCAGCAUUCUCCCGUCACGGGCAUCUGGAGUCUUCUCUGGAGCUCUUCCACGCCAUGCGUGUGAGGAAUCUCUCGACUUGCACGGCAAUCCUCUCCGGCUACGUCCACUGCGGCCUCCUGAAAGAGUCUGAGCGCUUCUUUCACGAUCAGAUGCCACAGCACGAUCUUGUCUCCGUCACAACGCUGCUCGUCGCCUACACCCAAAGCCAACGCCUUGAGGAAGCCAGCUGCCUCUUUGAUUCUCUUCCGUACGUAGAUGCCGUGUGUUGGAACGCCAUAGCCACGGGAUUUUCCCAGUGCGGCCUCCUGGACGAAACCACGAAAAUCCUCGACAAAAUGCCGGCAUGGAAUCUUGCAACCUGGAACACGCUGCUAACAUCACACUCCUUGCAAGGGAAUCUUACCGGGGCUAUAAGAGUCUUUCACGAAAUGCCAGACAAGAACUUGGUGUCGUGGAACGCCAUGCUCUCGGCAUAUGCCCAAAACGGGCAUCUUUCUCUUGCAAGGAAGGUGUUCCAAACGAUGCCCUUGCGCAGCGUUGAAUCCUUCAGUGCAAUGCUGACCGCAUAUGCCCAAGCCGGCAGCCCCAGCGACGUGUUUGAUUCCUUCGAAGAGAUGAAGCUAGUGGAGAUGCCCGACGAUUCCUGCUUCACUUUGGUGCUGAUUGCGAGCAGUCAAGUUGGCGAGCCCAAAGUCGGCGGCUCCUACUUCAGCUCCAUGCGUCUGGAUUACGGGGUGGUGGCGAGGAAGCAACACUACUGCUGCAUCGUGGACAUGCUGGGGCGAGCGGGAUACCUGGAUGCGGCGGAAGAGCUUGCGCAAACCAUGCCUUUUCUUCCCAACUCGUGGGACUGGACGUCCAUGCUAAGUUCUUCCAGACGCGAUAGAAUCUGGAAAAACGGUGCUCGAGUGACGAAACGAGCUUUGCUUUCGGGCCCCAGCGAUGGAGCUGCUCUUGUGCUGCUCGCAAACUCACGCUCCUCUUGAUUCUUACUACUUUUCCGAAACUUUACCUUUAUAGAAUGGGUUAUCGAAUUUGGGCUCAUAAUGGAGCAAGAAGCUCAAUCGUUCUUCGAUUCGGCCCCGCCUCUCCGAUGGACGAUGUGGUCGCGAGCGUGAAUCGCUUCUUGGAUAUCUGGAAGGCGGCAUCGGCCAUCGGCCAAGGUUUAUCCUUACUAGCAUUUCUCAUAUUUUGGAGCCGAAUCGCGUGAUUCUAGAGGAGGCGCAUUGCCGUUGUUACAUCCGGGGGCACGACCGUGCCCUUGGAGCGACGAUGCGUUAGGGUCAUUGACAAUUUCAGCUCGGGGAGUCGAUCGGGAGUCGAUGAGCAGCCUCCACAGAGUGCGUUAUUCUUUUCUACUCAUUCUUCUUUUAUGAUUUUUCUUUUUUUUUUUUUUUUUGCAAGGUACUUUUGGCUGCAUGCAAGAAUGUCUCGAGCCUGUGGAUGGAUCAAUCCGGGGUAAGUGAAAUCUGCCAUUUAUUUCUUCGAGAGUUUAACUCCUGCUUCGCAGUACGAGAAAAAUGGUUUGAUGUUGUGACUCGGGCAGUCACAGGACAUCAUUCUGUAAGCUCAGUUCUUGUUUCUCUUUUUGAGUUCUUAAGAAUCAAAACAGGCGGUGCUCCAGAAGAAGCUGUUGAAGCUCGAGUUCACUACGCUCUUCGAGUACCUCCAAGUAAGAAAUGUGCCGCGCAAACACUGGUUUCUAUGACGGUUUUUCGUGGCAGAUUUUAGAGAUUGUUGGAGCUGCCAUGAAACCAGUUGGCAGGCAUGCUAUGUUUUACUUUGCAGCGGCUGUCUCUGACUUCUACAUCCCUUGGAACUCCAUGGUAAGAACUUCUCGUCUUCUCUUGUUUUGUUUUCGGUGGAAAUCUCAAAAAUAAUCUUCUCUAAGAUCCUGUCAAAACUAUCUCACCGAAAAAUUAAAUGUUUAAAGUGUCAGAUAUAUUUAGGUUAAAUAUAUUCAGGGAAGAAGCUCAAAGCAAUCAUUUCCUUAAAUGAACGAAACCAUUUUUAGGGUUGGCAGUCCAGGAGGAGCGUGGGGUUUUGAUAAAUUUAUAUGGAAUAAUAUACUCUAGGAAAACUAGUGUUGAUUAUACUUAUAUAGUGGGUGAUAAUAUAAGAAUUAGAGAGUCUAAAGUUAGAGUAAAUAUUGAUGGAUAAAUAGAGUAAAUUAGUGAAGUAUUUAAGAGCUAACUUUAAUUCUAACCUGUCAGAAAGAUUUACUUAUAAGCUUUUUCUAAAUUCCUUGUAUGUGAGUUUUAAUCCAAGAUCAAACAAUAUAUAAAGCUUUUCACUUGGGUUCUUUUAUUUAGAGUGUAAAAAAAGUUUAAAGCAUUCUUAUGCAUUUCUAAGUAAUGCAGAUAAAUCUUAGAUAAAGCUUUUCAAUGAACUCUAAAACAAAAUUUUAGGAAUUAGCAGUUACAAAAUCUUUAUAUUUUUUUAUUCAGAUAUGUGUUUGUUAGUUUUAAUGAGUGUUUUGAGAGUAUUUGAGUGAGAUUUUUAAAUUUACUUUUUUACAAGAUUGUUAUAAAUGUUUUUAGAGUUUGGUUUCAUGAUUUUUAGAGUAGUGUACAAAAAGUUUAAAAGUUUUUUUUAAAUCUUUUUGUUAGUUUAUGCUUAUAAGGAAUUUUUAAAAGUUUGAGAGAUUUUUCUUAUAUAUUUAUCCCUUGUAUCAUCUUAUCGUUUAGUUUAGUGCCCUUGAGUAUAUAUAGCUAUUUGAUGUCUCAUGUAUAAUCAUCUCUUUUGAUUGAGAAACUUUUACUUGAAUGGAGAACAACAUCUAAUAUAUAGUAAGUGUAUAAGAGGUUAUAAAGUGUUAUAAAAAGUGAUUUUAAAAUCCUUGAGUGUUUAGCAAGCAUAAAACCUUGUGAUUGAGCUCUCCAAGCUCUAGACUAACAUCAUAGUAUAUACAUAGUUUUUGUAUUUGGCGCAUUUUAGAAGUUUAAUGUCUAUUCAUAUGCAUUAGUCAAGUGUUGUUGCUAUAUAAACUCCUCUUUGGACACAUAUAACUUAAAGGAAUUCUUAAGGUUUAUAUGCUAGUAAUUAUUAGACAAUGUUGUUGGUAAAUGAGUCUUCAUCAUUUAUAAUAGAUUCCAAAGAAGAGCACAAUUAAAACAUUACACCAAUGGUGGCAACUAUUCAUAUCCUUUAUAGGGCAAUGGACUUCCCAAAGUUCUAUCUUGGAUCAAGUAUUUUGGCUUACAAUCAUAUUAAUCAAUUUCAAACUUACUUAAGAUACAACAAAAUCACCAAAGAUGCUUUGUCCCAAGAAUUAUUCUUGAGAUCCUUAAAAACAAUAGUAGUAGAUUGGGCAUCUUUCUUGCUUCCAAAUGAAUGAUGGUCAUUGUCUACAAUGAUUGACAAAUUUCUCAAACAAUUUAGAAUGGAGAAAACUAACUAACAACUCUACAUAAACUGUUUUAAGUUUGGCAAAUGCUGCAAAAGAAUAUCAAUAACUACACUAUCCAAUUUAAAAAGUAUUAGUGUGCAUGUUUGCUAUAGACAGAUGAGAAGCCCAUGGUGUCAGCAUUCAUCCAAAACUCAAGCUUGAAGUGCAACACAAAGUCCUCAAGUGCCAACAUGAAACUUGCAAACUAACAUUUAGCUAUGCAUUAAAGGACAUGCUCUUUGAGCUUGGCAUGCACCAUGACAUCCACUCUUAACCAGGCUUCCAGGCCCAAAUGUGUGCCAUUCCCAAUCUACCACAUGUUGUUAAAGACAAGAUGCCCACAGUGAUUGAGUUGGUGCUUAAUGAGCUUAAAGAGCAUUGAGCAUUUGUGCAACAGUAGACUCAAUAGCAAGAGAAGCUUGUGGAGGAGCUACAAUCUCUUAGGAUGUAGACUGAAACUCGGUGGCAUCAUUACUGGUGCAAGAAAUAUAACGUUGAUACACACAACAUUGCAAGAUGUUGGAACUCCAUCUAGAACUUUGGCUUUAGUGACCACAGUGAGUCCAAUGACAACCACUUGCAAACAACACAACCCUAGCUUCGUCCUCCAUAGAUUAUCAUGAGAAUGACAGUCUGGGGCAUUGAGCCAAACAUGGUGACUUACAACAGCUUGAUCCAUGGCUUAUGCAUGACCAACGGGGUAGACUCCACACUUUUGCUGAUGGAAGAGAUGACAGCAACAGGGUGCCUUCCGGAUAUCAACACCUACAACACACUUAUUGAUGGCCUUUGCAAGACAGGAAGGGUGCCAGAAGCGAACAGGCUGUUUGGAGAAAUGAAGGCCAAGUUUUGCAACCCAGAUGUUAUCACGUACAGCUGCUUGAUUGGUGGGUUUUGUAAGCUAGAUAGGAUCAACAUGGCUUGCACGUUGUUCGAUGACAUGCUCAAGCAGGCAGCCCUCCCCGACGUCGUCACAUUCCCGACACUAGUGGAAGGAUACUGUAAUGCUGGACUGGUGGAUGACGCCGAGAGGCUUCUGGAAGAGAUGGUUGCUAGUGACUGCUCUCCAGACGUGUAUACGUACACAAGCCUGGUCGACGACUUCUGCAAAGUCAAAAGAAUGGUGGAGGCGCACAGAGUUCUCAAGCGAAUGGCCAAGGGGGGGUGUACAGGAGCUUGACCGGUGGCUUCUGUGGGACUGGGGACCUGGAAGAGGCUCACAAGAUGCUCGAGAGACUGGAGCACAACGAGAACCGUUGGAAAAUGGAUCUGCCAAUCCAUGCCUACCACAGGCCAUCCAACCAUAGCUCCGAUACCAUAUUGGAAAAUAUGGUCUACUAGACAGGCCAGGGAUUAAACCCAAGACCUCCUACACUAGUGCCAGGUGCUCUACCACUGAGCUACCUGCCCUGGUUGUGUGCAUGUUCAGCUUAGUUCUAACAAGAACUGCAAGGCAGAUAUGUUCGCGUACCGGAUGAUGAUGGACGGGCUGUGUAGAACCGGGAGAAUGAGCGCAGCUCUGGAGCUUCUCGAGGCCAUCAAGCAGAGUGGCACGCCUCCUCGCCACGAUAUCUAUGUGGCGUUGAUCAGGGGGCUGUGCCAGGGGAAAGAGCUCCGCAAAGCCAUGGAAGUUUUGGAAGAGAUGACGCUCUCAAGGAAAGGCAGGCCAAAUGCCAAGGCUUACAAGGCGGUGAUCCAGGAGCUAGCGAGAGAAGGGAGACACGAAAAGGCAAAUGCACUCUCAGACGAAUUACUUGGUAACAAAGGCCAGUAAAACGAGAUUUGUAAUCACAAAUCCGGAACAUUGUGUGAACACUAUCUGGGAUGUUUCCUAAGGUUUUUCGCAGAAAUCAGCAACCAUUCAACUAUUUAGUUUGAAUUUGCUUCUAAUUUUAUCUAUAAAAGCCCUCUUUCAGUGUUUAAAAUUCACUUAGGAACUCUUCUUUCAUGGCUCUUCCAUCCAUUGCGAGGAUUUUCGCAGCAGAGAAAAGCUAUUCCAUUCCACCAGUGUGUAAACUCCUUGCCUCUCCAGUGUUGAAUCCGCUGUACGAUGCAAAGGCCGACGCUCAGAUCGAUGCGUGGUGCGCGGAGUUUCUGAAGUUGCAACCUGGAAGCGAGAAAGCUGUGUUUGUUCAAGAAAGCAGGCUUGGAUUGCUCGCGGCUUAUGUUUACCCCAGCAUUCCAUACGAGAAGAUUGUUCCGGUUGCAAAGUUCUUCGCUUGGUUCUUUCUUGCAGAUGACAUUCUGGAUAGCCCGGAGAUCUCCUCGUCAGACAUGAGAUAUGUGGCAACUGCAUACAAGAUGGUUUUCAAGGGAAGAUUUGACGAGGCCACGCUUCCAGUGAAAAAUCCGGAGCUGCUGAGGCAAAUGAAGAUGUUAGCUGAGGUUUUGGAAGAACUGUCCCUCCAUAUAGUGGAUGAAUCAGGCCGAUUCGUGGAUGCUAUGACCAAGGUGCUCGACAUGUUUGAGAUUGAAUCGAGCUGGCUUCGCAAGCAAAUCCUUCCCAACCUGGAUACGUACCUCUGGCUGAGAGAGAUCACAUCUGGUGUGGCUCCUUGCUUUGCUCUGAUUGAUGGUUUACUGCAACUUAGGCUGGAGGAGCGUGGCGUGCUGGAUCAUCCUCUCAUACGCAAGGUUGAGGAGAUUGGGACGCACCACAUUGCGCUCCACAAUGACUUGAUCUCGUUCAGGAAGGAGUGGGCGAAAGGAAACUACCUCAACGCCGUGCCCAUUCUCGCCAGCAAUUGUAAGUGUGGCUUGAACGAGGCAAUUGGCAAGGUUGCGAGCAUGGUGGAGGAUUUGGAGAAGGAUUUCGCCCAGACAAAGCAUGAGAUCGUUU